RNAcentral lists this ribosomal RNA (1673 nucleotides) under Salmonella enterica. Its description in RNAcentral is "partial 23S ribosomal RNA". It matches the Rfam family "Bacterial large subunit ribosomal RNA", at positions 1292 to 2925 of the family's 2925-position model. The record is from RNAcentral. Lineage: Bacteria; Pseudomonadati; Pseudomonadota; Gammaproteobacteria; Enterobacterales; Enterobacteriaceae.
GAAUGCUGACAUAAGUAACGAUAAAGCGGGUGAAAAGCCCGCUCGCCGGAAGACCAAGGGUUCCUGUCCAACGUUAAUCGGGGCAGGGUGAGUCGACCCCUAAGGCGAGGCCGAAAGGCGUAGUCGAUGGGAAACGGGUUAAUAUUCCCGUACUUGGUGUUACUGCGAAGGGGGGACGGAGAAGGCUAUGUUGGCCGGGCGACGGUAGUCCCGGUUUAAGCGUGUAGGUGUGUGUUCCAGGCAAAUCCGGUUCACUUUAACACUGAGGCGUGAUGACGAGGCACCACGGUGCUGAAGCAACAAAUGCCCUGCUUCCAGGAAAAGCCUCUAAGCAUCAGGUAACAUCAAAUCGUACCCCAAACCGACACAGGUGGUCAGGUAGAGAAUACCAAGGCGCUUGAGAGAACUCGGGUGAAGGAACUAGGCAAAAUGGUGCCGUAACUUCGGGAGAAGGCACGCUGACACGUAGGUGAAGUGAUUUACUCAUGGAGCUGAAGUCAGUCGAAGAUACCAGCUGGCUGCAACUGUUUAUUAAAAACACAGCACUGUGCAAACACGAAAGUGGACGUAUACGGUGUGACGCCUGCCCGGUGCCGGAAGGUUAAUUGAUGGGGUCAGCGCAAGCGAAGCUCCUGAUCGAAGCCCCGGUAAACGGCGGCCGUAACUAUAACGGUCCUAAGGUAGCGAAAUUCCUUGUCGGGUAAGUUCCGACCUGCACGAAUGGCGUAAUGAUGGCCAGGCUGUCUCCACCCGAGACUCAGUGAAAUUGAACUCGCUGUGAAGAUGCAGUGUACCCGCGGCAAGACGGAAAGACCCCGUGAACCUUUACUAUAGCUUGACACUGAACAUUGAGCCUUGAUGUGUAGGAUAGGUGGGAGGCUUUGAAGCGUGGACGCCAGUCUGCGUGGAGCCGACCUUGAAAUACCACCCUUUAAUGUUUGAUGUUCUAACGUGGACCCGUAAUCCGGGUUGCGGACAGUGUCUGGUGGGUAGUUUGACUGGGGCGGUCUCCUCCUAAAGAGUAACGGAGGAGCACGAAGGUUGGCUAAUCCUGGUCGGACAUCAGGAGGUUAGUGCAAUGGCAUAAGCCAGCUUGACUGCGAGCGUGACGGCGCGAGCAGGUGCGAAAGCAGGUCAUAGUGAUCCGGUGGUUCUGAAUGGAAGGGCCAUCGCUCAACGGAUAAAAGGUACUCCGGGGAUAACAGGCUGAUACCGCCCAAGAGUUCAUAUCGACGGCGGUGUUUGGCACCUCGAUGUCGGCUCAUCACAUCCUGGGGCUGAAGUAGGUCCCAAGGGUAUGGCUGUUCGCCAUUUAAAGUGGUACGCGAGCUGGGUUUAGAACGUCGUGAGACAGUUCGGUCCCUAUCUGCCGUGGGCGCUGGAAGACUGAGGGGGGCUGCUCCUAGUACGAGAGGACCGGAGUGGACGCAUCACUGGUGUUCGGGUUGUCAUGCCAAUGGCACUGCCCGGUAGCUAAAUGCGGAAAAGAUAAGUGCUGAAAGCAUCUAAGCACGAAACUUGCCCCGAGAUGAGUCUUCCCUGAGACUUUGAGUCUCCUGAAGGAACGUUAAAGACGAUGACGUUGAUAGGCCGGGUGUGUAAGCGCAGCGAUGCGUUGAGCUAACCGGUACUAAUGAACCGUGAGGCUUAACCUUACAACGCCGAAGGUGUUU